UUGGAGAAGUUUAUCCUGGCUCAGAACGAACGCUGGCGGCAGGCUUAACACAUGCAAGUCGAGCGAGAUCUUCGGAUCUAGCGGCGGACGGGUGAGUAACGCGUGGGAACGUGCCCUUUGCUACGGAAUAGUCCCGGGAAACUGGGUUUAAUACCGUAUGUGCCCUACGGGGGAAAGAUUUAUCGGCAAAGGAUCGGCCCGCGUUGGAUUAGGUAGUUGGUGGGGUAAUGGCCUACCAAGCCGACGAUCCAUAGCUGGUUUGAGAGGAUGAUCAGCCACACUGGGACUGAGACACGGCCCAGACUCCUACGGGAGGCAGCAGUGGGGAAUCUUAGACAAUGGGGGCAACCCUGAUCUAGCCAUGCCGCGUGAGUGAUGAAGGCCUUAGGGUUGUAAAGCUCUUUCAGCUGGGAAGAUAAUGACGGUACCAGCAGAAGAAGCCCCGGGCU
Molecule: ribosomal RNA, 449 nt
Filed under: Paracoccus sp. (in: a-proteobacteria)
Lineage: Bacteria; Pseudomonadati; Pseudomonadota; Alphaproteobacteria; Rhodobacterales; Paracoccaceae
Description: bacterial SSU rRNA
Rfam family: Bacterial small subunit ribosomal RNA
Source: RNAcentral